GAUGAACGCUGGCGGCGUGCUUAACACAUGCAAGUCGAACGAUGAAGCCCAGCUUGCCGGGUGGAUUAGUGGCGAACGGGUGAGUAACACGUGAGUAACCUGCCCUUAACUCUGGGAUAAGCCUGGGAAACUGGGUCUAAUACCGGAUAGGAGCGUCCACCGCAUGGUGGGUGUUGGAAAGAUUUAUCGGUUUUGGAUGGACUCGCGGCCUAUCAGCUUGUUGGUGAGGUAAUGGCUCUCCAAGGCGACGACGGGUAGCCGGCCUGAGAGGGUGACCGGCCACACUGGGACUGAGACACGGCCCAGACUCCUACGGGAGGCAGCAGUGGGGAAUAUUGCACAAUGGGCGCAAGCCUGAUGCAGCGACGCCGCGUGAGGGAUGACGGCCUUCGGGUUGUAAACCUCUUUCAGUAGGGAAGAAGCGAAAGUGACGGUACCUGCAGAAGAAGCACCGGCUAACUACGUG
Molecule: ribosomal RNA, 466 nt
Filed under: uncultured bacterium
Lineage: Bacteria
Description: partial 16S ribosomal RNA
Rfam family: Bacterial small subunit ribosomal RNA
Source: RNAcentral